RNAcentral lists this transfer RNA (83 nucleotides) under Candidatus Anderseniibacteriota bacterium. RNAcentral's name for it is "tRNA-Leu". It matches the Rfam family "tRNA". From Rfam's summary of the family: Transfer RNA (tRNA) molecules are approximately 80 nucleotides in length. Lineage: Bacteria; Candidatus Anderseniibacteriota. The record is from RNAcentral.
GCCGGGGUGGCGGAACGGUAGACGUGCAGGUCUCAAAAACCUGUGGGAGCAAUCCCGUGAGAGUUCGAAUCUCUCCCCCGGCA